GGGGUCGGGCCGCGGGCCGAGUCCUGCGCCCGCCGUGGCCGGCAGUGCCUUCGUGGGGCACCCAGGCCAGGGUGGCCUGGAGCGGCAGGAUCUCAGGGUCCACUGCUCUUAGUCCAGAUCCUCGGUGGCGCCCCAGGAGGAGCUGGGGUUCAAAGCACAGUUAAGCCAGGGGGAGGGGACGGCCAGGCACUUGGAACUUCUCAGGGGCCACCCCUGUCGAGAGCCUGAGAGCCUUUGAACUUUGAACGGCUGUGGGCAGAGCAGGCCCACCCAGGCCUGAGGGAUUUGGGCCCUGACGGAAACCAGAUCAGGCCUCCGGACAGCCUGUCCCUGGUCGGUCCCCAGGCCAGGAGGCAGUUAAUUGCACUAAGUGCACAGGUUCCCCGUGCCCCCCACCUGGCCAGACCCGGAGUUCUCAGGAGUUAGACACACGUUUUCAAAGCCCCCCUUUCUGCCUCCUCCGCUGUGAGGUGACCCCAGAAGUGCGUGCUUUCUCGGGCGUGCUUCUGACUGACACCGGGGCCUUGUGGGCUCCAGGCAGGGUCCCCUCUGACCUGGGCGGGUGGCCUCAGCCUGCUGGCGCCAGGGUGGGAACCUCCCAGGGCUGCCCGGCCCCGGGCCCAUUAACUGCCCCUCUGCCGGGGCGGCCUGGGGGCUUCCUGGGCUUCUCCAGUUUCUGUGUAAACAGCCAGAGCGGCGGGGCGUGGGGCGCGGCCACCGGCCACCGGCCACUAGAUGGCAGUAGCGCCACUGCGAACCCCGCCCGCGGCCGCUCAGCUUCGGGGCUGUUGGUCAGGAAACCAAGUCAGCGUGGCAGCUUUUUGGGAAAACAGUUGCAGCUGUUGUCCUCGACAGGGGCCUCGUAAUUAUUUGGCCUAAUAUUUGCUGUGCAUAAAGUCAGCCCGGGCAGGGGGAGAGCACCGCUGGCCUCAUAAAGAGGCCUGUGUCCUCCGCGCUCAGCCUGCCGGCCGUCUUUGUCCUGGCAUGCGGUCGCCACCCCGUGCGUCCGCAUUCGCCACGAGGCCCUUCGCAGGCGAGCUGUAGUUACAAGUGGCCUUUGAGUCACCCGAGCCUCAUGUUGUCCCUCGGCCCCCGCCCCCGACGCAUGAAAACUGAACUGGGCAGCGCCUGGACCUGCUAUCUGCAGCUGCCCCUCGCUCCACGGGCCUCUCUUCCUCUGCGGACCCCGGGUGGGACAGACAGGCCGCCCUGCUGGGCACAGACCCUGCCACUGCAAAGUCAAAUUUGUGAUGCCCCCGGCUCCCGUGGCCAGGAGGUCGGGGAGCGCCUCUGAGCGAGGGACCCUCCUCUGUCCCCUGAAGCUGAGGCCGACCUCCCCGGAGUGUCCCUUUGGGCCCGCUUGGGGCUUCUGAACACAGCUGAUUGUAAAGCACACAGAGGGUCAAUCAGAAAGACAGAUUAAGUCGCCAGGUUCCUUGUGAGCCGCUGCUGCACCCGCUGGGAGUCCCACACCCCCCACCCCACACCCCACAACCUGAUAAACAUCUCUUUGGCCCAAAGUCCAGCUCCAGCGAGGGCCUCAGUGGCCCACACAACAAACAGCGCUGACCUGGUGUUUACACAGCGGCAGGAAUGAAUGGCCAGCGGCGGGGCCCAGCAGGAGCCGUCCGCAGACAAUGGCGCUGGGCUCCCAGGACUGCUCCGGGGCUGGCCUCCUCUCCUCGCUUUUUAUGACAUUUUUCUGCUUUCCUGUACUUUUCCACCAUCCGCUUCUCUCUCCCGUUUGGAAGCGUUGAGGGUGUCGUUUUUGAAAGUACGAGGUGAAUUUCUCUGGAAGGGGAGCCACAGUCGGCACCCACAGAUGGUCACGGCUUCCUCCGCCCCCCCCCCCGCCCCCACAAGCUAUUGCAAAUUGCCAUCUUUGUAUUUAUAUUUAAAAUGUCAUUUUAGGUUUCCCCCACCUCAGAAAACUAGCAGAAUCACCUCGAUAUAUUAAACAUAACCCCCCUCCCGCCCCCCGUUCUGGGCAGUCAGCCCUGCAUGUAAACUAUUGCCCUUUGGUAUUUUAAAAAAGAAAAAAAAAAGUCUUGAAAUGUG
Long non-coding RNA from Pteropus alecto (black flying fox), 2058 nucleotides. RefSeq lists it as uncharacterized. The transcript has 2 exons. Lineage: Eukaryota; Metazoa; Chordata; Mammalia; Chiroptera; Pteropodidae. The record is from RefSeq and is a predicted model, not a curated record.